This is a long non-coding RNA of Mauremys reevesii (Reeves's turtle), 1921 nucleotides long. RefSeq lists it as uncharacterized. The transcript has 8 exons. Lineage: Eukaryota; Metazoa; Chordata; Testudines; Geoemydidae. The record is from RefSeq and is a predicted model, not a curated record.
UGUGAUGACGUUAACAGCAAAGCUGAGUGGCUCCCUCUUCUCACGUGAUCUUAAAACAGGACACUGCCCUUGGCUACGCCGUGCUCAGCAGCCAUAUUACAUUUGGGCAGCUUAGGUACCUGCCCCCAUAUUGAAUAAGGGCAAAGAAGCCAUCUUUAAUUCGGCCGUGGACACUUCUGGAAAACGUCUUGCCUGGGAGCGAGGGAACCAUUGACAGGAUCUGGGGCGUUAGCAGCCAUCUUACAAGAGGGCAUGUCUCGCUAUUAGCAGCCAUCUUCAAUGUGCAGAUGGCAUUAGCUGUGUGAAAAUAAAUACGAGGAAGGCUUUAAAAAGUUAACUUUCCCUUCAAGGAGCACAAUAGUCCAUCUUGUUCUCUUGGCUAGGUGUACCAUGGAAAAAUUCAGCUGGUGAAGGAGCCUGGAAGAUGGAGGUGGGCUGUGAUAUUUUCUGCAUCUUUUCAGCAAUAGUCAUGGUUGUGUCCUUUUGCAGCAUCCAGUUUACAUCUUGAAGGCUAUCUCCCCAAGGAAAAAGAUCUCCAUAAAAUCAUCUUGGUUAAAGCACAAAUACUUAUGGGUCUAGAGGACACGUUACAUGGAAAAGAGGCACAGGCUGUUAUUCACGAACACUUAACAUACUCAGUCUUGAUGGUUUUACUUUGUCAGCCUGGAUGAUGUCACCUGGAUGAGAGAAGUGGACUUGGAGUGGAUGACACCUAGCAAGGAGCAUGGGAGAGAACAGGAGAAAAUUAUGGCAUCUCGGCUUAUCAAAAUGAGAACAGUGGUGUGCAUACGAGACAGUGCUGCAAGUCAAAGAAACACCAGUUUAUGAUAAAGAGAAGCACACAAUGGACUCCAGGUAUGAAACCUUCCCCACUGUCCUCUAGUGUGCCUCAACCUUGUAUUGGAAGGACCACUGUAGCUAUCAGGAUAACAGACUGUUGUCACAGUCCCAGGACAACACUCAACUUGACACCAGGAUGACAAUAAACCUUAGUUAACAGAAGCACGCAAGUGAACAGAAGUUCAUCAGGAUUUUCUUCAACCCUCUUGCAAAGACCUUAGUAAAGCCUCACCAGACUUUCAACCUACAAACCAAAAAUGCCCUUUCAGGAACCAUUACACUAUACAAAAAAUGUACUGAAGACUGUUGUCAGCCUGUGACACUAAGCACCCCUCUAUUCACACCCUACUGGCUAUUUUAAUGAUCUUUAUACAAAAUAUGCCCUGUGAGGUAUAAUUUGAAAGCUAAUAACUCAAUGAUCAUUAAUAAUCUUGCAUCAUGUAUGUAUGUGGUGGAUAUUAAGAAUUAUGGACCCCUAUGCAAAUUAAGCAUGGUGGAAUCAAACAAUAGAAGCCCCAUUUACAUAAAAAUCACACGGGGAUGGGAAACCCACAGGAAGAGAAGAACAGAAUGAGGUUCAAUGAACUUUGGAAGAUAUAACCAAGGACAGAAGCUGUCACUGGCAUCCAUCACUAGACAAGACACAAGGGAACAGCUCCCUUGCAAGCUGAGAAAGAUGGAUCCUUCAACCAAGGAACUGCGGCGUUGAAGUCUCUGGAAAUGAAAUAGGCGAAAAACCGGUAUAGGCAAAUAUCUUUCACUCAAGAAGACAAGGGAAACCAGCGCCCGGUACUUUGUGAAGGUCCUGACUGAGGGAAAGAUGGCCAAGGCUGGGAAGAAAAGUGAUUGGUGAGAGAAACCAUCUUGAACAAUCCUGUAUCUUGCUAGGUUAAAUUUGAGAUCUUUAGAAGCAUGUUUUGUUUUGUUUGACUUGUAACUCUUUGUAUCUUCAUUCCCUAGAACUCACUUAAUCCGAUGUACAUUUUGUUAAUUUUUUUUCAUUUUUACCACUAACCAACUCAGUGCUGCGUUUAAAGUGAAGUUAAGUUAAUAACAUGUGGUAUGGUUUUGUGUUUUUAAA